RNAcentral lists this ribosomal RNA (253 nucleotides) under uncultured bacterium. Its description in RNAcentral is "partial 16S ribosomal RNA". It matches the Rfam family "Bacterial small subunit ribosomal RNA", at positions 524 to 776 of the family's 1533-position model. The record is from RNAcentral.
UACAGAGGUCCCAAGCGUUGUUCGGAUUCAUUGGGCGUAAAGGGUGCGCAGGCUGUGGGGUAAGUCGGAUGUGAAAUUUAGAGGCUCAACCUCUAAACUGCAUUCGAUACUGCUUCGCUAGAGGUAUGUAGAGGAGAUUGGAAUUCACGGUGUAGCAGUGAAAUGCGUAGAUAUCGUGAGGAAGACCAGUGGCGAAGGCGAAUCUCUGGGCAUUACCUGACGCUCAUGCACGAAGGCCAGGGGAGCAAACGGG